Molecule: ribosomal RNA, 245 nt
Filed under: uncultured bacterium
Lineage: Bacteria
Description: partial 16S ribosomal RNA
Rfam family: Bacterial small subunit ribosomal RNA
Source: RNAcentral
UACGUAGGGGGCUAGCGUUGUCCGGAAUCAUUGGGCGUAAAGCGCGUGUAGGCGGUCCGGUAAGUCCGCUGUGAAAGUCGGGGGCUCAACCCUCGGAUGCCGGUGGAUACUGUCGGGCUUGAGUACGGAAGAGGCGAGUGGAAUUCCUGGUGUAGCGGUGAAAUGCGCAGAUAUCAGGAGGAACACCAAUUGCGAAGGCAGCUCCGCUGGGACGUUACUGACGCUGAGACGCGAAAGCGUGGGAG